GCAAUUUAGCGAUUCAGUAUGUAGAAAGCUAUUUGGAUCUCUCUGCUGCUCUUGUUCUUUAACAUGUGAAUUGACAUUCAGCCACUUGGAUCUCUCUGUUGCUCUUAAUUUCUCAUUGACAAAUGAAUUGGCAUUCAGCUUUUUGGAUUUCUCUGCUGGUAUUUCUUUUUAACACAUGAAUGGAUAUUUAGCAAUUCAGGUACGUACAUAUUUAAUUUCUUACAUUAUUCUUAUUACCUAUCUUUUAAUUUUUGUUUUUUUUGGUUUUCUUCGGAUUAUGUUAUUUCUUGCUGUAAUUGAGGUUUAAGACUCAUUUAUUCAACAGGGAUAACACAAUUACAUGACUAACAAAAGAAAGAAAACUCCUAAUAAUAUGAGAAAAUUACUCAAAAAAUAAAUCAAGCUUACAAGGAAGGAAAUAGCAUCCUAAUAUGGUAUUCGUUAACACAUGCAUGGAAUGCAUAAUAUCUAUUAGAUUACAAAAAUAGUCGAUCUUUUCAUGAUUUAUUUUAGUUUUACUUGAUAUUAUAUUUUUGUCCAAUUGUAAUUGCUAUUUAAUUACUUGUUCUACCAAACCUACAAGUCUUAAAACCCAAAUGUAAACAAUGAGAUAUUAUUUUUUAAAAAAUCGAAUUUUCAUGCAUAAAUAAACUAUGUAGGAUUCUAGAUUACAUUCAAUGCUUUUACAUUUGAGCAGUUAGCAUUAGUUUGAGUUCUAGAAAAUUUUUAGUUUAUAAGCACACAAUAAAAUAGUCACUGCUGGCUUAUUAAUUUGUUUUUUUUUGUAUCUCAAAUAUUAAUAUUUUGGAUUAUGAAUUUUUGUGGAUUUCAUCUUCUUAUUUAUGCACGACCAUAAAAAGAAAUGUAAUAUUUCUCAAAAGAAAAAAAUAAAUAAAUUGUAAUUUAUAGUUAAAAUGAAAAUCCUUUAAAUAUUUUCGUUCAUUUUGCUACUUGUUAUCUUCCUUAAUUUUUUACAAUCUUAGAUUAUUAUCCUCUAACAUUUAAUUUUAUUAAUUAGUCUCCCUACGUCAGGGUUAGGUCACUAUUCCGCCCAUUUUUUAUAAUUUAUAUCAAAAAUAUCUUUCAAAAUGACAGAAUUAAUUAAAAAAUUAUUUUUUUCUUAUAGAAAAAGUAAGGGCAAUUUAGUCAUGUUGCUCUCUCCAUUAACACCAUACUCUCCUAAAAAUAUUUCCGAAAUUUCAAGAGGGCGAAAUAUAAAUUUUCGAAAGUUAAGGAGGGAAAGUGAAAAAGUGGGUAUUUACAAGAAAACUUUCUGUAUUUUAGCCUGAUUUAAAAUAAUUAUGUCACGCCCCGGAUUGCACAUUCCCCGGGCACGCCGACAAAUCCGCCGUAUACAAAGAGAUUUUCCCUGUAUACGAAGCGAUAGCUGUACCUGUAAAUCAAACACUACUACGAACAGUAGUAGAGAGCUGCAAGAGAAAACAGAAGCUAAAUAGAACAGAGUUUCAUAUACAUAGUUCAGAUCCAAAAUACAGAGCUACUCGCACUGGCGAGUUAAGUCAACUAUGUACACAAACUCGAAACAAAACAUCUACCUGCAGUAGGGCACCUCUAGCUCAGCACGUCGGGUAGGGCUCUAACUCGCGACGCCCUUGCCUCGAUCCUGAUCCGCAGACGGUGCAGUAGCCGAAACCUGUGGCUCUGCAAAAACAUAAGUAACAACUAGGCGUGAGAACUACUGUAAAAACAAGUAAUCCUCAGUGGGUACCGCCCAAAACAACAUCGGUCACCCACUAAGUCUACAGAAGGGAGCAGGGAUAGAAGGAAAGCAGGAAGCAUACUCUACCGCUAUCAUCUACUACACUAUCAUGCCCUACACUAACCAACUGUAGGAAAUGUCAAAUCUGACCCAAUCCAAAUCGGGACUGUAAGCAUACCCGUCCCCGGGACUGUGAAUACACCCGUCCCUGCCCCGUUGCGACUAUCGGGCUCUAUCCACUCUAACUGGUCCGUGGAGAGCAAGUCCAACUGGCAUGAGCGACACCAACGCAAAAGCACAAGCCUGACUCCGGAGUGGCACUCGUGGGCGCUACCCAACCGAGUAUGCAGCGUAUCUCUGUCGAGCUCAAUCAGGCUCCAACUAGCCAAAGUCAAGUAAUCGACUCAAAAUGGUCUAACAACCAACAGGUAACGUGCCCUCGGCACAAUCUGACGCCAAAAAGGCGAUACGGGUCCACCGUCAACUCUGACCGCACCCAACAGUCCGAAACGACCUGAACAACCCUGUAAAAAUCCACUCGGCGAACCAGUACGAGUGUAAAUACAUUCUAAACUACCUGGAGUACUCGUCUCGAAGAAACUGCGACAGUACAAUUUUCUAACGGUUCCUAGAGCUAAAUCAGGUAGUUAAAUCUGGUGACAGGUCCAAAUCGCAGGUUUUCUCCUAAUUCAAUUUUCAAGUCCAACAUGUAUAAUCUAUUUACUUGAUAAAAUAUGCUCGAAAAUUCAGAUUUUUACAUUCUAACAAUAAUCCAUGAAUUUGAGCUAAACUAUUGUAGAAACCACGAUUUAUACAUGUCGACUAAUAACACUUAGGAGUAAAACCGAUGUAACCCACCUCGAGUGCAAUUUUCCUGGCAGCGAACUCAGCCUCGGCCACCCGCGAUGCUGCUGGAUUCCUCAGGGACCACCAAGACCGGUCGCCGAGCUAAAACGACCAUAACAUCACAAAUCAGCCUAAGUUCACAGCAGCUGAAAGAGACCAAGUUUCGACCAAGCUAACCUCGUCCAAAAAUUGCAAGUGAGGGCUCCGUGGAAUCCUCUCGCAGUCUAGAAUCCAAUGAACCACGUUUCGUCGCGAUCCGACGCUCCUACGCGGAGAACGAGCCGAAAUACUAACAGUCGACGGUAGAUUCUGCGAAAACAGCACUUAAGCUCAAAUCAACGAUACCCGAAGUACUCGGAGCAAUUGCGACCAAAUGCUCACCUCAACAGCAACAAUCCUCGGCGCGAUGUCCAGGACGGCGAAGACGCACCCUCGCCCGGCCUCCUCGCAAUGUCCCGACAACAAACGCUCGCUCGAACGACUCGCGGCGCGACGUCGGCGAAUCCCCGGCUCAACCGUGCUCCACCUCCACCAAGCUGAGAGAGAGAGAGAAAGAAGAAAGCACAAAAGCCUUCUCUCUCUUCCUCUGUUCGGUUUCCAACUGAUAUAGAGAGAGAGGGAAGGAAUCGUUACAAACGAGGUAGAAAAAUUACGGAUUUAGCCCUUACCAACUCCCUUGUACCGGUACACGGAUUGCUGUACCGGUACAAGGCCAAACCCGAGAGCAACUGAGUUCUGUCGCACGCUCUGUACCGGUAUAAAUGGACCCUUGUACCGGUACAGCAAGCGACUUUCCAUGAUGGUUGUACCGGUACAGCACCAACCUUGUACCGGUACAACAGAGUAAAAAUCCUGCAAUUUCGCAGAUUUCACACAGAAUGCUGCCCUCGCGUCGCACGGAGUCCGUUUUGCGUCUAUUUGACGCCAACGCGACUCGGACUUGUCCCGACACUCUCCAGAGCUGUCGACAAGCCUCCAUAGUCAAACACCAGGGAUCUCACAAAUUAUCUAUUUAAUAUAAUAUUAUUCUAAAAUAGUGUCCUCGUGAUAGUGUUGUGCCACUUGGCACAAUUUCAAAAGUGAGAAUUUACUGCAUUAAAAUAAUAUAAUUCAUAUCAAAUUUUGCUAAAACUCUACAUUGCGAAUUUACUUUGUCCAAUUUUCAUAUUAAGUUCUACUUAGAACUCUACAUCCUAGAUUUAUUCUCCAAAUUUAAACUCUAUGGUUUAUAUUAAAUCAAAGGGGGGGACUAGGAGGAAAUAGCAGUGGCCACGACCAUCCAAAGUUCAUAAAAUUGUCUUUAAAUUUAUUUUUAUUAUAAUGUUUUAAUUAAAGUAGUAAGUAAAAAAUUAUACUUUUAUUGCCAAACUGUGAUACAUCUAGGAUUUGGAAUAGCUCUGUAUAUAUAUAAGAUAUAAUAAGGUUAAGAUUUUUUAAUCUGGCUAUAGCAUUUUAGACGAUGGCUAAGCCGAAGAGAUGAAGAGUUUUGAGCAUUCUAAAGAUAGAGUAAUUUUAGGAUGCGUGGCUCCUGCGAAGUGGGAAGCGGAGCGUUACACAAACUUUCACCAAAUGACAAGCCAAGUUGUUGAUACAUACCAAACUUUUUCUUAAGACAACUAGAUUAUUUAUAAUUAAAAAGAUUUUAAAUUGUUAUGGAAAGAGCUUACAAUAGGAAAGAAAUUUGAGUUAAUUUCAUUUGUACCCUCACACAGUUUUGAAACAUCAUAAAUACCCUUCCAAUUUUUAAAAUUUCACAAAUGCCCCUCUAAAUACAAUAUUUCUUUCAUAAAUAUCCUCACUGUAAAUUUUUGCUAACUUCUGUCAACUUAGCAUUUUUUUUAUUUUACUUCAAAAUAUGAAAUUACCAUUUUACCCUUAAUUUGUUCACUAUUUGUUUAAAAAUCAAACCUUUUUCACUGUUAUUUUUUAAUAUUUAUACUAAAACUAUCAACUAUAGGCCAUUUAAGUAAAUCCCUUUAAGUUUUUAUUAAUUUUUCUUUUUUCAACAUAAACUUCUUAGCUUUUAAUUUUUUGUUUUUUAGAGUAAUACAUAUGAAUUAUAUCGACAUUGUGAUUUUAUUCUUAGACUCAUUUAAUUUUAUACACUAUGAAGUUACUAAAAUUAUUAAAUUUGGUUGAAUCAUUAAUGGAUUAGAUAAAAUCUCUAAUUUAAUAAUAAAAAAUCAUUCAACUUUAUGAAAAUAAAAUUUAAGAAGACUUUAAUUAAAAAUUUAAAUUCCGGGUGCUAUUUCACAAUAGGUUGUAAUUGAGGGGGGUCUCCAUAUAUUUAAAAAAUUUUGUGAGGGUGGUGAUUAGAAUAAAAUAGAGGGUAAAAUGGUAUUUUGAAGCUAACAUAAUGGAUUGCUAUUUUUGAAAUUUUUUCAUAUUUUUGGAGGACAAAUUUGAAAUUUAAAAAUUUUAAAGGGUAUUCAUGAAAUUAGAGCUACUUGGAAGGGUAUUGAAGAAAUUUUCCAAAAGAAAUUUGGUUAUGUAAUCCAUAUAUCUAUCUACAACUACAUCAAAUUGUCACGCCCCGGGGUCCCCUUUUUUUGUUUGAAACACAGCGGAAAAGCGUUUGAAUUUUUUUUUUUUUUUUUUGAAAACCUGACCCCAGAGUAUGCCAGAUCCGCCACAAAUACAGGGAAUCCACUGUUCACACGGACAGAGUCUCCCCUGUACUUGCACGGCGUCACACAAGUACAAAAGUACAAACAGUAUACAACCACAAUCAAAUGAAUAUACAGAUAGCUAUACAUUUAUACAUUCACCAUUCACACCGUAGUUUUACAUUCGAUGUUUAAACAGAAGUCCACGAAAAAUCUUUUGAAACUGUUUCGUGCGAGAAAACUUUUAUCUUUUAUAGAAGCUACCACGAGGGGUAGAAAACCUUUUAUUUUACCAAAUCCAGAAAUCCUUUUAAUACGUUCAUGAAAGUCCAUAUAUUCCAAUAUAAUAAAAAAUACUGAACCAUAUAAACUGACUAAGCUAUAACAACAGAAUAGUAGGAAUAAAACUAAACCGAUAACCUGGGUCGGAAGCUCUAUCGACCGCUACGAACGUACCUCACGUCUCGUCCCAAAACUCAACGUCUGCAGUACCUGAAAAAUAGUAGGGGAGGUAAGAACAUGUAAACAUGUCUCCCCUCCCAGUGGGUACCGCAAGCCGAAGAAGGCGGGGAGUACUCACCGGAUCAGGAAGAGAUAAACAACAGUAUGGGUAAGUAAAAUACAGUAGCAACGAUAAUGAACGAAUGAGAUAUAUAUAUGAAAACACAAGUACCGCUACUGUAAUGUACAACUGCAAGCAUACAAGGAUAUCAAAACUAUAGUAGCAAGACAACCGUAAAGAAAGAACUAGAAGUAUAUAUGCAACAACCGCUACUAUAGCUAUAUGCGUCAACCGGACGAGAAGUCCCAAAAGUACCCAAUCUAAACCGUCGUGUCGGUCUAAGGACCUCAGGCAAAAGCCACUAUCUGCUCACACCUGGCAUGUAACCUUAGCACAAAGAGAACACCGCUGGGCUCACGGGUCGGAUGUACGACCACUUUUCCGGAAAAGAACACCCUCCUGCGGGGGAUCAACCCGCCGGUGUACGUGAAAUGCACUCGAGCUGUGGCGAUCAAUGCAGAUAUGAUCAAUAGCCAACCGUCGGCAAUCAGCCGACAAUCACUGCCCCUCUGGGCAUAUCGACCGUGUAGGUCAUCAAGCAACAACGUGAACCGACCGAGAUAGGUCAAUGUACGGAAGGUAACGAACGACCAAACAGGUCACCGAUGCAAACAGGAGAACCGACCAACCAGGUCACAAGUAUAGUAUAUACGAAUGCCAUCUACUCUACCCCUAUACAGGAUACUACACAUAGAACAACCAGGCAGAGUAAAUAAGGAUAGUAUGUAGAUACUGCUCGAUGUCAACUAAAAGUACGAACGCAAGAACCGACCGAUAGGUCACAGGAGUGUAUUCGAUAUAGUUCAGAACUACCGUCAGCACCAGCCGACAAUCCUACCCCUCAGGGUACACCGACCUCAAAGGUCAUCGAACAACAGAAGGCAAGAAACAGACCAACCCAAUACAUAAUGCAACAACCGACCAAUCAGGUCAACAGAUAUAAGAUAACAGCACCGAUCAACUAGGUCACCGAAACGAAGUACGAGAACCGACCAAUCAGGUCACCGGAACAAAGUACGAGAAUCGACCAAUCAGGUCACCGGAACAAAGUACGAGAAUCGACCAAUCAGGUCACCGGAACAAAGUACGAGAACCGACCAAUCAGGUCACCGAUAUCACAUAUGGAUAAACUACUCUACUCCUACACAUGAUACUAAGCAUAGAAACAUAUGAGUAGAGUAUAAUAGAAACAACGGGGAUGCAAGCUCAAUAUAUAAUACGAAAAUAGCAACAGAAGAACAGGAAUAGAAGAAUAUCACCGAGCGUGCACCACUGUACCGACGUCGGAUCGAAGUACCCACCUGUACAAAUGUUGCGCCUGUCUCCUGACUGCAAAAGGACGUCAACCGGAACUAAGGAAGGUCCACCGGGUUAGUGUCUAACCCGCAGCUAAUAACCACUAGAUCCACAACCUACAAGCAAACCCAUGGAGAUCGGUUUCCCAAACCGAUCGCCGUAAUACGCCGUAAGUCCCGUAAUCGCACGGGAACUCCGCCGGGAGCCACGAACUGUCCCGGAACAUACCGACUCGAGCUACGAGUCACCUGCUGCCACUAAACAUACAUAAUCGUGCAUCAUGGCAGCGAACACAACUCCUCGUGUCAAAACAAUUAUCGUCGGAUAAUCAUUUCGAUUCGGGUUCCCGGAAGUGUCUAAUUCGACACCGGAAUCCACCGUCGCUCACCCGUCAUUUCCGAACUCUCGAAAUGACGCAAGUGACGAGCCAACAAGGCUCAGCGACUACGCAAAAGCUCACGAAGCACCGUCGGAAUAAUUCCGAACCGAACCCGCGUUCCGUCGGCGGAUUUCGCCGAAAAACGCACCGGAAAUGCAUUUUCGAUCUUCGCAAGGGUCUGGGGCCUUGGACAAUCAGUCCAGAGGUUAUCCUGAGCCCUAACUUGCUGCCAACAGCAGCCACGACGAAGCGAAACGCAAAAGAAUCCCUAACGGCACAUGAAAUCACAUUAUUUUAUGUGAUUUCAUGGCUCCAACGGGUCGUACCAGCAAACCAGGGAUUUACGGAGGGUACCAUCACACUUGUUGCUGGGUUUCAGCGUGCCAGAGGCCGUGCUCACCUUUCGGAGCACUGCCGGCAGCAACCACGCGCUCACGAGCGACGCAAACCUCAGCGAAACAGUGCGCACAGCGCGAAGAUCGCACAUUACUCACUAACCAGGGCACCGUUAACCUAAAUGGAGAUGAGCAUCGUGUUCAGCACGAGCCCAAGAUCACCGUGCUCACCUUCCGAGGUGCCAGGGAGUCAUCGGGUCACCGGAAAAGUGACCGGAACGCAAAACAGCAGUGCUGGAACCAUAAAUGGCUACUCACCGGAGCAGUGGGAGCUAGGGAUGGCCGCCGGCGAUCGGGCGGCGGGCGCUCCUGCCGAUGAUGGGAGCAUCAGGUCGGGGAGGUCCGGGGGAGGUGCUGGACGGCGGCAGGCAGCAGCCGGUGACGCGGCGGCGGAGAUCGGGCCCGCACACUUCCUCUCGGGUUGGAGCUUGCCGGCGGCGAGGCGGCGACAGGGGGAGGUCGGGGCGACGAUGAUCCGGUGCCGGAGACCAAGGGGGAGGUGGUGCUCACCUCAGAGGGCAACGGCGGCGCUCGGGAGCGGCGCGGCUCCCAGGUCGGCCCGCACAGGACCCGAGCGGCGGCGGGAGACCUUGGCGGCGGCCGGCGGCGUACGGGGACGGCCGGGGACGUGCGCGCCGAGUUGCUGGAGGUCGCCGGGGUCGACAGGGGGGCUUGGCCGCAGGGGUAGUGCGGUCCCAAGGCCCGCAACCUGAGCUCGGCCUGGCUCGGGUCUGGGCUGACCAGGGCUGGCCGCAGCUUCCUUCGGCGGCUCCGGCGACGUCGGGGGAUGGCCGGAGCUAGAGGAGAGGCACGCCUGAGGUGGAGGGAGGCCGGGGCUCACUUCCAGAGGCGGUGGAGACCCUCCCACAAGCCCUCGGUCUAGGUGGAUGAGGGAGGUGGCCGAGGAGAGGAGGAAGGCUGGCUGCAGGCGGUUUCCGGCGGCCGGGGCUGCUCGGCGGCGGCCGGAACGCGAGCACGGGCAGGGCAGGGAGGUGCUGGGAUGGCAGGGGCUGCUGGGGUCAGCUGGGGGUUUCAAGGGUUAGGGUUUGGUCCAAGAAAACCCUAGAUCCACCUAUAUAAAGGUGUGAAAACUCGCGGAAAACCCCCUCGAAGGAAUCUAUUUAAUCCCAGCUCUCAAACAGCAGUCGCACAAUGAGCGAUAGUCCCUCCGAGUUCGAAGACUCGCAAUUCGAUGCAUAAAAUAUAGGGCCUUUUCGCGAAUAAUCUGAUUACUCAAAUCAGCCCCUUCGCGGACUUUUCGCGAUUCCCGAAGAUCCGUCCGUCGGAUUUCCGAUCGGAUCACACCAGCGCGAUCAGCACGACAGAGGCAUCGAAUCUAGCAUUUCGAUUCACCCGAAAAGGUUCCCGAUUAGCGACAAAACCAUCCCUCCUAGGUUCCACCAAAAACCACAUAUAGCCAACUAUAUGUAAAAACCAUUAAACCCCUUUUUCUCGAAAUCCGUGCAUCCAAAUCCAAUUCCGUCAGUGCCAUUGGGUCCAGGAUAGUCGAGCGGUUGAAAACGAGCUAUUGGAAGGCUAUAUUCGGAGUCCGAUACGCGUCGAAAGUCCACUCUACUCCGCAGCCUCUCCGGAAAACCGGAGUUACUAUUCACUUAAGUCAAACUUCCGGGUCGCGUAACUUUUCCGUUUUAACUCGUUUUUGCCCGAAACUUGACGAGUGCUUAUGUAAUUAAAUUACACACAUAAACAUCAUCAACAGAAAGUUUAGUUGCACUGUCGAAAAUCUCAGUCCUUACACAAAUAUAUAUAAUAUAUAAUAAUAUCCAAUCUUAUUUAAAAAAGUUAUGCCUAUAAUUAAUUAGAUUUUAAAUCUUUUUAUAAUUUUUUUAUAAAAUAGAUUGUUUUUCUCAAAAUUAGUUUAUUAUUAAAAAAAUAAAAAUUUGAAAUAUGUGCGUGCAAUGUAUGGGUAGCAACCAAUUUAUAUAUUUUGAAAUAAAUUGAAACAAAAAUACAAAUCAAUGAAUCCACGACACUACAUCUUUAAUUUGCAUUAGAAUGAAUAUAUAAGUUCUUUUUUAAACUGGCAAGUAAAGAAUCAUAUAUAUAUGUAGCCAUAGUUAUUACUUUCGUCAAGCGGCCAACUAAAUUGUUGACAUAUGGUACAUUACUUGUGAUAGUGACAUUAUUUAUAAUAAAAAAGGUUUAAAGUAUUGUAGAAAGAGUUAAAAAUAGAAAAGAAAUUUGGAUGCGCAAUUAGUAUAUUCAUUUAUAGCUUUAUUUUUAUUAUUUUUUUAAAAUUGAUUUCUUUCCAAAGUUAUAAGCAAAGAAUCAUACUUUUUUUCUCAUAACUACUUAUAAAUAUUUUGAAAGACAUUUGAAAUCCCUCCCUUGCUACUCUUCCUCCUUAACUAUAAAUAGGGAUUUAACGAUUCAGUACGUUGAAAGUCAUUUAGAUUUCUUCGCUGCUCUUUCUGUUUAACAUAUGAAUCGGCAAUUAACUUUUUGGAUCUCUGUUGCUCUUUCUCCUUAACACAUGAAUGGGAAUUUAGCAAUUCAAGUACGUAUAUAUUUAAUUUAUUACAUUAUUAUUAUUACUUAUCUUUUGAUUUUUAUUUUUAUUUUUCCUCAAAUUUUGUUAUUUCGUACUGUUAUUGAUGUAAUUUAAGACACUCAUUUAUUCAAUAGGAAUUAAGCCACAUAAAUAACACAAUUACACACCGAAUAAAGAAAGAAAAUCUUAAUAAUAUAAGGAAUAUAAAUCAAAUAUUAAAUCGAGCUUAGAAGGAAUGAAAUAACAUUCUAAUAUGGUAUAUGUUAACAUAUGGAAUGCAUAAUAUCUAUUAGAAUUCGAAAAGAGCGGAUCUUUUCUUGCUUUAUUUUAGUUUCACUUGACAUAUUCAUUUUUGCCUAAUUGUCAUUUUUAUUUGCUUGUUCUAUUUAAUUUCUUUUUCGUGGCACUAUAUUAAUAUUGUGUGGCUAUUAAUUAAUGGGAAUUUCCAUAUAUAGAUUUCAUCUCCCUGGUUAUGCACAAUUCUAAAAUACAUGGCAGUUUAAAGAUAAUAAUCUAUCUAACUUAUAUUAUUCUAAAGUAGUUUAACGCAUUUUUUACUUUGUCAUAUAUCCUAUGAUUUUUUAAAAAAUUUUCAAUUUGCCAGACUAUCUGAUAUAGAAUUUUUAGAUGAAAAAAAAUUAAACCAUAAACGAGCAAAAUGCAACUUUUUGAACCGCAGAAGGCCAAAGUAAAAUUUUGUUAUACCACAAGAGGGCAAUUUGAAUUUCACCGUUAUUAAAAUUCAAAGUUUCUUGUUAUAACACAUACUAUUUAUUAUUCAUUUCUUAUAUCAUUUACUGCCUUAUUCAAGUGAAUAUUAAUUUCUAUUUUUCCUCUGUAAAUCUGUAAUGAAAUAUAGAAUAAUACUCUUUUAGAAAAUAAUUUUUAUUUAGUUAAUUACUAUCUUGCCACAAAAGAGUCAACAAAGAAAUUACUGAUUUUAGCUGUAGAAAGUUUGAGAAAACAUAAUUUAAUACACAACCAGUUUAAAACUUGCAGAUUUUGGGUUCAUUAGUAUUGGGUCUUUACUCUUCAGUUUGCGGUUUCUUUAGCACAGUAUUACAAUUUGUCAAAUUAUUUCACGUUAUUUAAUUAGAAAAUGAGUAUUUAAAUGUGACAUCCCAAUAGUCCCACAUCGGAUGGGAAAGGGAUUGUCAAUAACUGGGCUUAAGCAUUUUGGGUCCGUGGUUUGGCCCAACGAGCUAUUAUUGCUAGUGGGCUGGGUCGUUACAUUAAAACUUUUCAAGUCACAUAUACAUGGAAUGCCUAAUGCUGAACAAAUUAUUGUAUUAAUUGUUACGCAUAAUUUCAAUCCCGGCGUUUUGCUUCUGGAUUAAAUUCAUACUAGUUAAGACUCAAUGGCUCAGAUUUAUUAUUCUUUCCAAAAAUUAGAUAUUCUAAAUUUAAAAUUUAGAUAUAUUCUAUGCAUUCUCCUAAAACUUUGUUGUCCGAAUUUAUUCUAAUCUUAAAACAUAGAAAAACCUUCAAUUUGUCCGCAUGUAGUUUUGUACAUUUUUUAUUUUGUCACAUUGUGGCUCGCAUAGAUACAUUUAUUAACUACCCCGUAUUUUUUAUUUUUGUUACAUCGUAUGGACCCGUUGUUAAUUAAACAAGAUAUUGAAAAUCAGACGAUGAUGCUUCCUUGUUUAACUAAGGCAAAAAUAAAAUCAUGGAUGCAACUUUUUAAAUUACAGGAUGACAAAUUAAAAAUAUCUUAAAUUGUAGAAUAAUUAAAUAUAGAUUUAUUUUUUGAACAAUUAAUGGUGUGGUAAAAAAAAUAAAAAUGCACUAAUUAAACCACGUAGGGAGGGGUACGGUGAAUUGAAAAGUUUACUCCAAAUCGAAAGGGUUAUAAAUUAAUGUGGCUGUGAUCUGACGGUGUUAUUUGCUGCUCUAUUAUAUAUCCAGUCCUGUCGAUUUCCAUGCGGAGCAGCUGAAGCAGGGAGGAUUGAUUAUGUAUGAAGAAGGCCAAAUUAAAUUAACUAACUCGGUGAAUGAAUGAACGCUCUCACGUACCACUGAUGCAUGGAUUGACGCUCGAUUAAUUAAUUAAAACCUAC
Molecule: long non-coding RNA, 12376 nt
Filed under: Ananas comosus (pineapple)
Lineage: Eukaryota; Viridiplantae; Streptophyta; Magnoliopsida; Poales; Bromeliaceae
Description: long non-coding RNA (ACOM_LNC035145)
Source: RNAcentral